UACGGAGGGUGCAAGCGUUAUCCGGAUUCACUGGGUUUAAAGGGUGCGUAGGUGGAUCGGUAAGUCCGUGGUGAAAUCCCCGAGCUUAACUCGGGAACUGCCGUGGAUACUAUCGAUCUUGAAUACUGUGGAGGUAAGCGGAAUAUGUCAUGUAGCGGUGAAAUGCUUAGAUAUGACAUAGAACACCGAUAGCGAAGGCAGCUUGCUACACAGUUAUUGACACUGAGGCACGAAAGCGUGGGGAGCAAACAAG
Molecule: ribosomal RNA, 253 nt
Filed under: uncultured bacterium
Lineage: Bacteria
Description: partial 16S ribosomal RNA
Rfam family: Bacterial small subunit ribosomal RNA
Source: RNAcentral